UAGGGAAUCUUCGGCAAUGGACGAAAGUCUGACCGAGCAACGCCGCGUGAGUGAAGAAGGUUUUCGGAUCGUAAAACUCUGUUGUUAGAGAAGAACAAGGACGUUAGUAACUCAACGUCCCCUGACGGUAUCUAACCAGAAAGCCACGGCUAACUACGUGCCAGCAGCCGCGGUAAUACGUAGGUGGCAAGCGUUGUCCGGAUUUAUUGGGCGUAAAGCGAGCGCAGGCGGUUUCUUAAGUCUGAUGUGAAAGCCCCCGGCUCAACCGGGGAGGGUCAUUGGAAACUGGGAGACUUGAGUGCAGAAGAGGAGAGUGGAAUUCCAUGUGUAGCGGUGAAAUGCGUAGAUAUAUGGAGGAACACCAGUGGCGAAGGCGGCUCUCUGGUCUGUAACUGACGCUGAGGCUCGAAAGCGUGGGGAGCAAACAGG
RNAcentral lists this ribosomal RNA (429 nucleotides) under Gemmatimonadota bacterium. RNAcentral's name for it is "Gemmatimonadetes bacterium partial 16S ribosomal RNA". It matches the Rfam family "Bacterial small subunit ribosomal RNA", at positions 355 to 776 of the family's 1533-position model. Lineage: Bacteria; Pseudomonadati; Gemmatimonadota. The record is from RNAcentral.